UGUGUGCCCAAGCAUUGAGGCAGUCAAAGUAGGCAAAUCCGCUUUGAUAAUGCUAGGAUGUGAUGGGGAGCGAAAUUUAGUAGCGAAGUAGCUGAUUUCACACUGUCAAGAAAAGUCUCUAUCGAGGGUAAAGGUACCCGUACCGCAAACCGACACAGGUGGGUGAGGAGAGUAUCCUAAGGCCAGCGAGAGAACUGUUGUUAAGGAACUCGGCAAAAUGACCCCGUAACGUAGGGAUAAGGGGUGCCACCAUCAGGUGGCCGCAGAGAAUAGG
Molecule: ribosomal RNA, 274 nt
Filed under: Clostridioides difficile
Lineage: Bacteria; Bacillati; Bacillota; Clostridia; Peptostreptococcales; Peptostreptococcaceae
Description: partial 23S ribosomal RNA
Rfam family: Bacterial large subunit ribosomal RNA
Source: RNAcentral